AAUCAACGCUGGCGGCGUGCCUCAGACAUGCAAGUCGAACGAUUAAAGCUCUCUUCGGAGAGUGCAUAGAGUGGCGCACGGGUGAGUAACACGUAAGUAAUCUACCUUCGAGUGGGGAAUAACGUCCGGAAACGGGCGCUAAUACCGCAUAAUGCAGCGGCAUCGCAAGAUGACAGUUGUUAAAGGAGCAAUCCGCUUGAAGAGGAGCUUGCGGCAGAUUAGCUAGUUGGUAGGGUAAUGGCCUACCAAGGCUACGAUCUGUAACCGGUCUUAGAGGACGGUCGGUCACACUGACACUGAAUAACGGGUCAGACUCCUACGGGAGGCAGCAGUCGGGAAUUUUGGGCAAUGGGGGAAACCCUGACCCAGCAACGCCGCGUGAAGGAUGAAGUAUUUCGGUAUGUAAACUUCGAAAGAAUAGGAAGAAUUAAUGACGGUACUAUUUAUAAGGUCCGGCUAACUACGUGCCAGCAGCCGUGGUAAUGUCUAGCAUG
Molecule: ribosomal RNA, 494 nt
Filed under: uncultured bacterium
Lineage: Bacteria
Description: bacterial SSU rRNA
Rfam family: Bacterial small subunit ribosomal RNA
Source: RNAcentral